Long non-coding RNA from Mus musculus (house mouse), 1437 nucleotides. RefSeq annotates it as predicted gene 9991. The transcript is spliced from 4 exons. NCBI's taxonomy places the organism in Eukaryota, Metazoa, Chordata, Mammalia, Rodentia, Muridae. The record is from RefSeq and is a predicted model, not a curated record.
GCUAAUCUGUCUGGUCCUCGUGCCCCUGCCUUGCUCCGUGGUCAGGGCAACAGAGUGAGAUUUCUGGCCAUUUGCUUCCAGCCGGGCAGGAGACUCAUCCACACUGCAUAUCUGUAGUCUGUUCCCUUUCGCUGCCUUGUGUUCAAUUGUGUCUGUGUAUGAGGGUGUGUCUACUCACCAGAUGGAGACCUUUUGGUCAUUUCCAGCUUAGAGGAAUUAUGAAUACAGCUAUGCCGGAGGUCAAAGGCUGGUGUGAUUCUUCAGGACAUCUGGGACCCGAGACUGGCUGAUUAGUCGAGGCUGACUGCCCAGGGAGUCACAAGGGUCUACCUGCCCCUGCUCCGAAGAGGUCUCUAAGGAGGUGGAGCCUUUUGUUCGGGGCCAUUAUCUUAUGUUGUACCCAUCUGAGCCCAUUCAUGCCUGCUCCACAGAAAGUUGAAGCCCUGAACCACUGACAGGCAGGAGCAGAUUCUCAAUGGCCUCACUCAGCAUGGUGUGCCGUCCUCACUCAGCCUAGUGUGCCAUCUUCAGAACUGGACAGAUGCCUGGCAGCUUGAAGUACACAGUGACAGAGUCAACUCUGCAAACACUGAAUGAAAUUCUGACUACAGUAUUCCCAGAGCAUGCAUGGAGAGGAGCCACCUCAGCCACUCAGGGAGUACAGAAUCAAGAAGAUCUGAAGCUGACCCUUUGCAUUCCUACUGAAAUGCAGAUAAUUCCUAAGCCUUCCAGACACCAAGGUCAACCAAAAAGGCAGCAUCCGGUCCUACUGCAGACCAUGUCUUCUGCCUACAUGUCAAGCUGCACGUGUCACCCAGCCCAGAGUACAAAUGUCAGAGUAUCACCGGAAGCCCUGGCAAGAUGCUGCUUUCAGAGGAGGUUCUGAUCAUCUCCAUGCUUUCCUGUAUCUGAAAGCCUCUCACCAUGUGUGUUACAUUGCUAAUGCAAAGGUACAGCAAAGACUCGAGGGAAAGAGAAAGAAACAAAUAAAAACUAUAACUCAUUCCUAGUGCAGAGUCUGCUGCGCAUAGGGAAGGCAAUAGGAGUCACGCAUUUGUGUCUCCAGAUGGUGUCAAAUGUACACAGGGAAGAUGCAUCUCCCUGGAGCAAGAGGUCUCAGUGCAGGUGGGGGGAGGCGGGGCCACUGAUGGGAGUAGUGGGAACAUCUGGACCCUUGGCUCCGUUGGCUUAGCCCCUUGACAGGAAAUCAAAUAUUAUAGAAAGGAAAAGGGUCGUGCCUGUGUCCCGGGUGUGAGAGACUUGCAGGACUACAGAGAAGGUUGUGGUCAUCUCUGCUUGACAGCAUUGCAGCUGUGCUGGACCGCACUUGAGAGUAUCUUAGCUACCACAACAACAGGAAGUCAUAGGAGCUCACAUCUAUCCUUCUCGGCAUCCUUAAAUGUGCUUUCUACUGUUCUGGGCAAACAUUGAAGGACA